UAUUUAGUUGUUAUUUUAUACCGGCACAAUAAUAUAUUGAAAAAUAUCUUCUUUUUUUUCAAAUUGAACUUUAGUAUCUGUUCUAAACAAAUUACAGACAAUUUUUUCAUCUGUGUACUUGGCACCAAUGUUUGCGCAGGUGUUAUCAAACAUGGAGAGGAGAGAACGUUCUGCAGCCCUGUCAGUAACCCUGCACAUAGCACUUUUGCGCCUUAUCGAGCAAAGGCCAGUCGUCGAGGACAGGUCUACUAGUACUGUAACACAAUAAAUGACAGCAAAAGAAAGGCCUAGGAUGAAAUUACUGCCUCAUUAAACACCAGCAACCAAGAUCAACUCCCUCUUACAGCCAAGCACCUCAAGAGGAGCUCCAACAUAAAAAGGAAACUAAAACCAGAGAUAUAGGAGAGCGGGUGGUGGUCCUCCAGAAAACUAUCAUUAGCUUCAGAAGAAAUCACCACCCACUGCUCGUGUCAUGCGGAAGACUUCUGCAAGUGUACCUGAACUUCCUCACUCCCAUGAUCCUCUUGUUUUGCCUGUUCCAACACCAGGGCUAUCAACUGUGUCUUCUGCACCAUCUACUUCUGUUUUUCGACUUCUAAUUUCACCCUCUGUUCCUGCCUCACCAGUCAUUGUGAGAAAAGACAAGGGGAGUUCCACAAAUAUAAAUUGUACACAAUGAAAAGAGAGCAUGAGGAGGAACUGAAAGUGAAGGCCAUAAUAUCAGCACAUACACUCAAAGAAAGAUAAAGUGAAACUGUAAUUAGAGUGAUUGAAAAGACGCUUGAAAAAAUUAAUAAAUCUUUUGAAUUGUUAGAUACAUGUUUAAGGAAAGCAUCAACUGCAUAUGAUGCCAUGGCUAAAACUUAUGAAUGAUGGUUGAGUAAUAACAUACAGUCAUAUGCAAUGUUUAUGAUUUUACUAUAUACAGGGGUACUGUGAUAUAUCGUAAAGUGGCAUCUAGAUUAUAAAUUUAUUUUCUUGUCUUACACCUUAAAAUAAUUUUAUUUAAAGGAAAUAAAUCUACAUUUCUUUAUUUUGCCAUUGUUUACAAUUGCUGUCUUAAGUAUGGCAGCUAAGAUUUUUUUUUUUUUAUGAUAUACAGGUAUGCUGUGAUUUUCAAUAAUUGCAAUUCUUUUUACUGUGCUAUAGACUAAAGUUCUUUUUUUUGGGGGGGGGGUAGAUUUAUAAUACAAGUUGUUAUAUGCAAAGUAAUGGAUAUAGGAGAUUUUUAGUUUAUUAAUUUUUAUGCAUUCAUAUAUAAUUUAAUUUAAGAGAAAAUUUGUCUCCGCAUUUCUAUUUUGUGCAAAUAUUGUACAAAGUAUGGCAGUUCAGAUUUUUUUUAUGUAUAUCUAUAAUAUAAGCUGUGAUAUUAAUGAAAUGCAGAGUCCUGUAUAGAAAAAAUAAUUUUUAUUUUCUUAAUUUUUGCACAUUUAGAAAAAAUAAAUCUAUAUUUCUU
Homarus americanus (American lobster) is the source of this 1456-nucleotide long non-coding RNA. RefSeq lists it as uncharacterized. The record is from RefSeq and is a predicted model, not a curated record. The transcript has 2 exons. Lineage: Eukaryota; Metazoa; Arthropoda; Malacostraca; Decapoda; Nephropidae.